This 497-nucleotide ribosomal RNA is filed under the name uncultured bacterium. Its description in RNAcentral is "partial 16S ribosomal RNA". It matches the Rfam family "Bacterial small subunit ribosomal RNA", at positions 28 to 507 of the family's 1533-position model. The record is from RNAcentral.
GAUGAACGCUGGCGGCGUGCCUAAUACAUGCCAGUCGAGCGAACAGACGAGGAGCUUGCUUCUCUGACGUUAGCGGCGGACGGGUGAGUAACACGUGGAUAACCUACCUAUAAGACUGGGAUAACUUCGGGAAACCGGAGCUAAUACCGGAUAAUAUAUUGAACCGCAUGGUUCAAUAGUGAAAGACGGUUUUGCUGUCACUUAUAGAUGGAUCCGCGCUGCAUUAGCUAGUUGGUAAGGUAACGGCUUACCAAGGCAACGAUGCGUAGCCGACCUGAGAGGGUGAUCGGCCACACUGGAACUGAGACACGGUCCAGACUCCUACGGGAGGCAGCAGUAGGGAAUCUUCCGCAAUGGGCGAAAGCUUGACGGAGCAACGCCGCGUGAGUGAUGAAGGUCUUCGGAUCGUAAAACUCUGUUAUUAGGGAAGAACAAAUGUGUAAGUAACUAUGCACGUCUUGACGGUACCUAAUCAGAAAGCCACGGCUAACUACGUG